This 1387-nucleotide ribosomal RNA is filed under the name metagenome. Its description in RNAcentral is "bacterial SSU rRNA". It matches the Rfam family "Bacterial small subunit ribosomal RNA". The record is from RNAcentral.
CCUACGGGUGCGUAACGCGUAUGCAACCUACCCAUUACAGCGGGAUAGCCCGGAGAAAUCCGGAUUAAUACCGCAUGGUAUCACAAAUUCGCAUGUUUUUGUGAUUAAAGAUUUAUCGGUAAUGGAUGGGCAUGCGUAUGAUUAGUUAGUUGGAGAGGUAACGGCUCACCAAGGCGACGAUCAUUAGGGGUUCUGAGAGGAAGGUCCCCCACACUGGUACUGAGACACGGACCAGACUCCUACGGGAGGCAGCAGUGAGGAAUAUUGGGCAAUGGAGGCAACUCUGACCCAGCCAUGUCGCGUGCAGGAAGACGGCCCUAUGGGUUGUAAACUGCUUUUAUACGGGAAUAAAAGCCCUACGUGUAGGGAGUUACAUGUACCGUAAGAAUAAGCACCGGCUAACUCCGUGCCAGCAGCCGCGGUAAUACGGAGGGUGCAAGCGUUAUCCGGAUUUAUUGGGUUUAAAGGGUGCGUAGGUGGAAUUAUAAGUCAGUGGUGAAAUUUUGCGGCUUAACCGUAAAACUGCCAUUGAAACUGUAGUUCUUGAGAGAAUUCGAGGUAUGCGGAAUGUGUUGUGUAGCGGUGAAAUGCAUAGAUAUAACACAGAACACCGAUUGCGUAGGCAGCGUACCAGGAUUUUUCUGACACUGAUGCACGAAAGCGUGGGGAGCGAACAGGAUUAGAUACCCUGGUAGUCCACGCCGUAAACGAUGCUCACUCGUUGUUGGCAAGUUAUAUUGUCAGUGACCAAGCGAAAGUAUUAAGUGAGCCACCUGGGGAGUACGUCGGCAACGAUGAAACUCAAAGGAAUUGACGGGGGCCCGCACAAGCGGAGGAACAUGUGGUUUAAUUCGAUGAUACGCGAGGAACCUUACCUGGACUUAAAUGUAGAUUGCAUAGCGCAGAGAUGUGCUUUUCUUCGGACUAUUUACAAGGUGCUGCAUGGUUGUCGUCAGCUCGUGCCGUGAGGUGUCGGGUUAAGUCCCAUAACGAGCGCAACCCCUACCGUUAGUUACCAGCAUGUUAUGAUGGGGACUCUAGCGGGACUGCCGGUGUAAACCGCGAGGAAGGUGGGGAUGACGUCAAAUCAGCACGGCCCUUACGUCCAGGGCUACACACGUGUUACAAUGGCAGGUACAGAGGGCAGCUACAUAGCAAUAUGAUGCGAAUCUCGAAAGCCUGUCUCAGUUCGGAUUGGAGUCUGCAACCCGACUCCAUGAAGUUGGAUUCGCUAGUAAUCGCGCAUCAGCCAUGGCGCGGUGAAUACGUUCCCGGGCCUUGUACACACCGCCCGUCAAGCCAUGGAAGCUGGGGGUACCUGAAGUUCGUAACCGCAAGGAGCGACCUAGGGUAAAACUGGUAACUGGGGCUAAGUCGUAACAAGGUA